AUUGAACGCUGGCGGCAUGCCUUACACAUGCAAGUCGAACGGUAACGGGCCUUCGGGUGCCGACGAGUGGCGAACGGGUGAGUAAUACAUCGGAACGUGCCCGAUCGUGGGGGGUAACGAGGCGAAAGCUUUGCUAAUACCGCAUACGAUCUACGGAUGAAAGCAGGGGACCGCAAGGCCUUGCGCGGACGGAGCGGCCGAUGGCAGAUUAGGUAGUUGGUGGGAUAAAAGCUUACCAAGCCGACGAUCUGUAGCUGGUCUGAGAGGAUGAUCAGCCACACUGGGACUGAGACACGGCCCAGACUCCUACGGGAGGCAGCAGUGGGGAAUUUUGGACAAUGGGCGCAAGCCUGAUCCAGCCAUGCCGCGUGCAGGAUGAAGGCCUUCGGGUUGUAAACUGCUUUUGUACGGAACGAAAAGCCUUCUUUUAAUACAGGAGGGUCAUGACGGUACCGGAAGAAUAAGCACCGGCUAACUACGUG
Molecule: ribosomal RNA, 482 nt
Filed under: uncultured bacterium
Lineage: Bacteria
Description: partial 16S ribosomal RNA
Rfam family: Bacterial small subunit ribosomal RNA
Source: RNAcentral